UUGUGCCUACGGGGCUCAGCAUUAUUUCCUAUUUCUCACUUUUUGAAACCCUGAAGCAGCAACGCCGCGUGGAGGAUGAAGGUUUUCGGAUUGUAAACUCCUUUUGUUAGAGAAGAUAAUGACGGUAUCUAACGAAUAAGCACCGGCUAACUCCGUGCCAGCAGCCGCGGUAAUACGGAGGGUGCAAGCGUUACUCGGAAUCACUGGGCGUAAAGAGCGCGUAGGCGGGAUAGCAAGUCAGAUGUGAAAUCCUAUGGCUUAACCAUAGAACUGCAUUUGAAACUGUUAUUCUAGAGUAUGGGAGG
This 305-nucleotide ribosomal RNA is filed under the name uncultured bacterium. Its description in RNAcentral is "bacterial SSU rRNA". It matches the Rfam family "Bacterial small subunit ribosomal RNA", at positions 332 to 655 of the family's 1533-position model. The record is from RNAcentral.